Molecule: ribosomal RNA, 487 nt
Filed under: uncultured Funneliformis
Lineage: Eukaryota; Fungi; Glomeromycota; Glomeromycetes; Glomerales; Glomeraceae
Description: SSU rRNA
Rfam family: Eukaryotic small subunit ribosomal RNA
Source: RNAcentral
UGGUGCCAGCAGCCGCGGUAAUUCCAGCUCCAAUAGCGUAUAUUAAAGUUGUUGCAGUUAAAAAGCUCGUAGUUGAAUUUCGGGAUCAAUAUUUCGGUCAUGCCGUUGGUAUGCACUGUUAUCAUUGAUUUCUCACCUUCUAAAGAACCGUAAUGCCAUUAAUUUGGUGUUACGGGGAAUUAGGACUGUUACCUUGAAAAAAUUAGAGUGUUUAAAGCAGGCUCACGCUUGAAUACAUUAGCAUGGAAUAAUGAAAUAGGACAUCCGAUUCUAUUUUGUUGGUUUCUAGGAUCGAUGUAAUGAUUAAUAGGGAUAGUUGGGGGCAUUAGUAUUCAAUUGUCAGAGGUGAAAUUCUUGGAUUUAUUGAAGACUAACUACUGCGAAAGCAUUUGCCAAGGAUGUUUUCAUUAAUCAAGAACGAAAGUUAGGGGAUCGAAGACGAUCAGAUACCGUCGUAGUCUUAACCAUAAACUAUGCCGACUAGGGA